Long non-coding RNA from Alosa sapidissima (American shad), 149 nucleotides. RefSeq lists it as uncharacterized. The transcript is spliced from 2 exons. The record is from RefSeq and is a predicted model, not a curated record. Lineage: Eukaryota; Metazoa; Chordata; Actinopteri; Clupeiformes; Clupeidae.
UGAGAAGUAACAGAAAUUAUGACACAGGAUCCUGUAGCCUGCAUCGAACAUCAAAGAUAAAUGACGAAUUCAGACGGAUCUCUACAUUCAUUCAUUGCACAACUGGACCAGUUGCCAUUGCUUUAAAAAUAAACAAUGCUUUCAGAAAA